This 453-nucleotide ribosomal RNA is filed under the name uncultured bacterium. RNAcentral describes it as "bacterial SSU rRNA". It matches the Rfam family "Bacterial small subunit ribosomal RNA", at positions 28 to 493 of the family's 1533-position model. The record is from RNAcentral.
GAUGAACGCUGGCGGCGUGCUUAACACAUGCAAGUCGAACGAUUGAAGCUGGAGCUUGCUCCGGCCGAUUUAGUGGCGGACGGGUGAGUAACGCGUGGGUAACCUGCCUCAUACAGGGGGAUAGCAGUUGGAAACGACUGGUAAAACCGCAUAAGCGCACGGUAUCGCAUGAUACAGUGUGAAAACACUCCGGUGGUAUGAGAUGGACCCGCGUCUGAUUAGCUAGUUGGUGAGGUAACGGCCCACCAAGGCGACGAUCAGUAGCCGGCCUGAGAGGGUGAACGGCCACAUUGGGACUGAGACACGGCCCAAACUCCUACGGGAGGCAGCAGUGGGGAAUAUUGCACAAUGGGGGAGACCCUGAUGCAGCGACGCCGCGUGAGUGAUGAAGUAUUUCGGUAUGUAAAGCUCUAUCAGCAGGGAAGAUAAUGACGGUACCUGACUAAGAAGCAC